GACGAACGCUGGCGGCGUGCUUAACACAUGCAAGUCGAACGGAAAGGCCCUGCUCUUGCGGGGUGCUUGUGAGGCGCACGGGUGAGUAACACGCGUGUAACAUGCCCUUGACUUUGGGAUAACUCUAGGAAACAGGGGCUAAUACCGGAUAGGAGCUCCUGCUGCACGGUGGGGGAUGGUAAGUUACGGCGGUUGGGGCUGGACUCGCGGCUUAUCCGCUUGAUGGUGGGGUAGUGGCUUACCAAGGCUUUGACGGGUAGCCGGCCUGAGAGGGUGACCGGCGACAUUGGGACUGCGAUACGGCCCAGACUCCUACGGGAGGCAGUAGUGGGGAAUAUUGCACAAUGGGCGGAAGCCUGAUGCAGCAACGCCGCGUGCGGGAUGACGGCCUUCGGGUUGUAAACCGCUUUCGCCUGUGACGAAGCGUGAGUGACGGUAAUGGGUAAAGAAGCACCGGCUAACUACGUG
Molecule: ribosomal RNA, 468 nt
Filed under: uncultured bacterium
Lineage: Bacteria
Description: partial 16S ribosomal RNA
Rfam family: Bacterial small subunit ribosomal RNA
Source: RNAcentral